AGUAUGGACUCUGUUGGAAUGUAAUGUGUCAAUUUGGUUUCAUGCCUCAUCACACUGGCAGACAGAAGAGGGUAAUGGCUGCUUUGGGGAGUGGAGGAAGCCAAAAAGAAGGCAAAGAGUGAAGACAGAGAAACAAGAUGUCAGUGGUGGUGCUGAGAAGGAAUAGAGAGACUUUUCUUUGUGUUAAGGGCCGCAGAGGGAGGAAUCCAGCUGAGGACUACACAGGGGCAUCUGGCUUCAGGAAUAACAGAUCAAAUGGUGACGAACUCCUUCAAAAUGGUCCCCAAGGCUUCACUGUGGAUGAAAGGAAGAAGUCAAUGCCUUUGCUCAAAGAGAAAAAAUGUUUUUCUGUUUGAUGGUUGAUGAGCAUUCCUGCCUUGAGAAAAAGAAGGCUAAUUGUGUAUGCUGGCAAAGCAUGUGUAUGCUCAUGACUGCUAGGAAUCAAGAGCCAUGAAUACGAACUUCCCAUUGCUCCCUGUUGCAUGCCAGAAGAUGUUUCACUUUGGAAUGCUCCUCCAUCUGACCCUGGGACUGGCUUUACUAAAAUGAGUGUUGGAAUGUCUACCCCCAUAAGAAAGCAUCCAGACUCACCACUUACUGGACAUAUUCUGCAGAAUUGAGGCUUUCUAGGCCUGCCCAGCUUGGUCAAUUUUUCCAUCAAGCCAGAGACAUGUGCUCAAUUUGGAAAGAAUCAGGUAAAUUACCAGGGAGGGUUUCUCACACCACAAAUACAUAUGUCCCUCAUUGCUAUGCUGUCUUGAGAAAGCAGAAGAUCAACACAUCUCUUUGAAAUUAGAAUGUUCAAGGAAAGAGAUUAAUGCCCUUGCAAGCUAAUCCAACUCAGGAAGUUAAUUCUUUCCCAUGCAAUCUAGCUAAUCCCGCUUCCAUUUAGAACUUACUCUCAAGGUCCAAUGUUUGGAGUUCUACGUAUGUAGAAAAGUCAUAUACUUAAACUUCUGGUGCUCAAGGAUUUUUGUCUCUUAAAGCUCUUCUGGCCCCCAAUUUUUUAACUAGUUGACAAGUAAGAUUGCUGCACAUUUCGAACAACUCACUUAUCCUUAGUCCCAAGAACAGGGAGCAGACCACAUGGGAGACCAUGUGUCUGGCACACUUACAUUAGUUGUUGUGAUGGUUAUUAGCCUGGCCUGCCAUUUGUCUCUGAUAGCCAGCUCCCUAAUUUAAAAUUCAAGAGCUGGCCAGAUUUCCAAGGACUUUCCUGGGGCCUAGGGCAGGGGAAACAAAAUCCCUAUUUUCCAAAUAGCUUCAUUUGACUACACAUUGGGUGAGUAAGAACAAAGGCCAUCAUGGAGGCUCCUCAGUUUUGCCAUGAUCAGAUAAGAAAGGGUGAAUAACUAAAUCUAAGUGACUGAGGGCUUGUCCGCCAAUAAAAUGU
Equus quagga is the source of this 1393-nucleotide long non-coding RNA. RefSeq lists it as uncharacterized. The transcript has 3 exons. The record is from RefSeq and is a predicted model, not a curated record. NCBI's taxonomy places the organism in Eukaryota, Metazoa, Chordata, Mammalia, Perissodactyla, Equidae.